Molecule: ribosomal RNA, 403 nt
Filed under: Fusobacteriota bacterium
Lineage: Bacteria; Fusobacteriati; Fusobacteriota
Description: Fusobacteria bacterium partial 16S ribosomal RNA
Rfam family: Bacterial small subunit ribosomal RNA
Source: RNAcentral
UGGGGAAUUUUGCACAAUGGAGGAAACUCUGAUGCAGCGACGCCGCGUGAGUGAUGAAGAUCUUCGGAUUGUAAAACUCUGUCCUUAGUGAAGAUAAUGACAGUAACUAAGAAGCAAGCCCUGGCUAAAUACGUGCCAGCAGCCGCGGUAAUACGUAUGGGGCAAGCGUUGUCCGGAAUUAUUGGGCGUAAAGGGUACGUAGGCGGUUUAAUAAGUCCUAAUUAAAAGGCUAUGGCUCAACCAUAGUAUGGUUAGGAAACAGUUGAACUUGAGUAGAUGAGGGGAAAGUGGAAUUCCAGGUGUAGCGGUGAAAUGCGUAGAUAUAUGGAGGAACACCAAUGGCGAAGGCAACUUUCUGGAAUCAAACUGACGCUGAGGUACGAAGGCGUGGGGAGCAAACAGG